Molecule: ribosomal RNA, 376 nt
Filed under: uncultured bacterium
Lineage: Bacteria
Description: bacterial SSU rRNA
Rfam family: Bacterial small subunit ribosomal RNA
Source: RNAcentral
AUACGUAGGUGGCGAGCGUUGUCCGGAUUUACUGGGUGUAAAGGGUGCGUAGGCGGGAUUGCAAGUCAGGCGUGAAAUGCAUCGGCUUAACUGAUGAGGUGCGCUUGAAACUGCAGUUCUUGAGUGAAGUAGAGGCAGGCGGAAUUCCGAGUGUAGCGGUGAAAUGCGUAGAUAUUCGGAGGAACACCAGUGGCGAAGGCGGCCUGCUGGGCUUUUACUGACGCUGAGGCACGAAAGCAUGGGUAGCAAACAGGAUUAGAUACCCUGGUAGUCCAUGCCGUAAACGAUGAUUACUAGGUGUGGGGGGUCUGACCCCCUCCGUGCCGUAGUUAACACAAUAAGUAAUCCACCUGGGGAGUACGACCGCAAGGUUAAA